This 352-nucleotide unclassified non-coding RNA is filed under the name Hevea brasiliensis (rubber tree). Lineage: Eukaryota; Viridiplantae; Streptophyta; Magnoliopsida; Malpighiales; Euphorbiaceae. The record is from RNAcentral.
GUGCUCUUUUUCAUCUCCUGGAUCAGAGUGGAUUUUGUUUUGGCAUAUCCUCAGAAGAUCAUCUAAAGCUGAUUCAAAAUGAAGGUUCAAAAGUUCAUUUGCAAACUGAAUUUCUUCAUCAUUUGGAACAUGCCACUUGGGGAUCAUUUUUUCAGCACUAGUAUAAUCUUUUGUGCUGAUCCAUUCUUCUAAUGCCACAGCAGCAGGGUGGCACAACAUACACUUGUAUUGAUCAAUAGGAUAAUAAAGAACCACACUUCCAAGGACAGAUCGAAGAAGAUGAUCACCAGCUCCAUUAACCUUCCACGAGGGAGAUUCAAAAGCAGACACAAUAGCUUCUUUGAACUGUUCC